This 700-nucleotide ribosomal RNA is filed under the name endosymbiont of Sphenophorus levis. RNAcentral describes it as "bacterial SSU rRNA". It matches the Rfam family "Bacterial small subunit ribosomal RNA", at positions 365 to 1043 of the family's 1533-position model. The record is from RNAcentral. Lineage: Bacteria; Pseudomonadati; Pseudomonadota; Gammaproteobacteria.
UUCACAAUGGGCGCAGCUGAUGGAUGCACGCCGCGUGUGUGAUGAAGGCUUUCGGGUCGUAAAGCACUGUUGUAUGGGAAGAAAUGCUAAAAUAGGGAAUGAUUUUAGUUUGACGGUACCAUACCAGAAAGGGACGGCUAAAUACGUGCCAGCAGCCGCGGUAAUACGUAUGUCCCGAGCGUUAUCCGGAUUUAUUGGGCGUAAAGCGAGCGCAGACGGUUGAUUAAGUCUGAUGCGAAAGCCCGGAGCUCAACUCCGGAAUGGCAUUGGAAACUGGUUAACUUGAGUGUUGUAGAGGUAAGUGGAACUCCAUGUGUAGCGGUGGAAUGCGUAGAUAUAUGGAAGAACACCAGUGGCGAAGGCGGCUUACUGGACAACAACUGACGUUGAGGCUCGAAAGUGUGGGUAGCAAACAGGAUUAGAUACCCUGGUAGUCCACACCGUAAACGAUGAAUACUAGGUGUUAGGAGGUUUCCGCCUCUUAGUGCCGAAGCUAACGCAUUAAGUAUUCCGCCUGGGGAGUACGACCGCAAGGUUGACAACUCAAAGGAAUUGACGGGGACCCGCACAAGCGGUGGAGCAUGUGGUUUAAUUCGAAGCAACGCGAAGAACCUUACCAGGGUUCUUGACAUCCUUUUGAAAGCCUUUUAGGACGAUAGGAAGUUGUUCCUCCUUCGGAGAACCAACGGUGCACACGGUG